UAAUAAAGAAAAAUAAAAAAAAUAAAAAAGGACAAGAUGGAUGGAUGGUAUCCUUGAAGUGACUGGCUUGAACUUGAAGGAGCUGUCAGCUGACCUGGAGCUCUGGCCUAGGCUGGGCCAUGAGGUCACAAAGAGUUGGGAGCAACUGAACAAAUGAACAAUAUCUUAGCUUUUGCCUAAUGAGAUUGGUCAAUAGAACUAGUCAGGCUAUUGGACCAUCUAGCCCGGUAUUAUUGACAGAUGCUAGCUAUUCUGACUUUCAAGCUGGACUUUUUUCCUAGCUGGAUAUGGAGAUAGUGGGAAUUGAACUAUUGAUUUUCUGUAGCCAAGGCCAUUGAAACACCUCCUGCCCCUGCAACUAUCAGUGACUGGCUAUGUGAUCAAUAACUGGGAUGAUUGUCUACUGUGGUCAACCUCAGCAAAAUUUACUGGAGCAAUAAAUCUAGUGCAAUCAUGGAGAAAAAUUAAGGCAGAGGAUCUCUGGAGAAGAGAGGAAAAACAAGCACAAGGAGUGCAAAAACAGACACGUCAUGGCUGUGCUACUUUCCUGUCCGUAUUGUCCUUUUGGCAUGCUUUGUAAGGAUGCUUCGCCAGGGUGGGAAGGGGAGCAGAAGGUGGAAGAGCACAUUUUUGGAUGUUAAAAGGAUCACUGUGGGCACAGCAUUACAUGGUUGUGUAAUGUCCAUAUUUCUUCAUAGCUGGUAUUUAAGUAGGUUAUCUGAUACCAGGGGAGCCACAAGGGGUGGCACAGUAAAUGAUCCUUUUGCCCGAGGCAAACAAUAAAGGAAAGAUAAUCAUGGUGCCUAAAGACACUGUGUAUGUCAUGCUGAAGAACAAAGAAAAACAAACCUCUCAGACCCUGAGUAUAAAGAAAAGAGACUUUUUCAAUUCCUUUUGGACAGAUUUUGCAUGCUUGAACCCCCUUCUCCUCAGGUUUCUCUGUUCUAGGGCAAAAAUCCCAAGGUAAUAUUUUGAGUCUUGCUUUUAUUACAUUUAUUAAGGAAGAGAGUCUCCUCUUCUCUCCACAUUGUUGUUGUUGUGUGUCUUGAAGUAAUUUCUUAUUGCAACCUUAAGGUGAACCUCUCACAGGGUUUUCUUGGCAAGAUUUAUUCAGAGAGGGUUCACCUUUGCCACUUUAUUUUAUUUAUUUAUACUAUAUGUAUAAUUUUAAUUUUGGAGGGAUCUUGUGGGAAUGUGAGGUUUAAAAUGCAUUUUAAUGGUAUUUAUUAUACUCUAACUUUAUUGUAACCUAACACACACACAGUACUCUUUAACUGUUCGUUUAUUUUUAUAUUUACUUUGUUUUAAAUUGAUUAAAGUAUGUGGUUGUUAGCUGCCUUGAGUCCCUUCAUGGAGAGGGGUGAGAUAUAAAUAAAGUAAAUAAAUAAAUAAAAUUUGUUUUUAUAUACAUUUAGGUCUAUCACUAUGCUCACAUUUUUAUUUCAGCAGAGAGAGGGAAAAAUCAGUUGUCAUAUUUGCUAUCUAUAGGCUAUCCAAACAAUUUCAAAAAAUAAUAAUCAAGAUUCAUCUCUACAGCAAACCUAAUUUAUCAUUGGUUGGGACAUCUAAAAAUGUACUUUCAAUCCACAAAGACUUCUCCUGCCAGAACGGAGUAGAAGGAGGUGAAGGAAGCUACAUAAACAAUUAACCAAAAAGCAUUCAGAUUUGAUGAUGCUAUGGAUAAUUGGGCAAUUAAAGUUCUCUUAUGUGACUUUGCUCAUCACUGGUUCUGGAGACAUGUCGUCAUUUUAAAAGUCACAGUGUUCCAAAAAUCUCACUGUUCUGACAUAAAAUGCCUCUGUUCCUCUUCCCAUCUACAAGAAUACCCUUCAAUCGAAAUCAGAGAAUCACACAUUUUUAAAAAGUUGGGUGAGGGGGUGGGAGGACUCUUCUGCCGCCAUGCUAUCUUAACUACUUGGAAGGUGAACUGGCUGUGCAGGGGACAGAUCGGAGACUAUAUAGUUGAAUCAAACAGGAAUUUAUUAACUGACAAUAAUUUUAGACUUUCCCUCCUCCUGAGUCUCACUACAAGGUCUUUAUGAGGAGAAGUAAUGUCUUUGAGAGAUAGACACAGUUCUGGCCUAACUGAAGCUCUUGAAUCUUUAUUUGUUCCAAAUUUGUUCUAAAUUUCCUUGUACCAUUCUUCUGAAUUUUCUUUCUUUCCUUCCAAUUUUUUGCUGUUAACAAUUUUGCUGCUGUUAAUAAAUUAGAAAGCACUUCCUUCUCCUCUUGUGAGGGAAUUGUAUUAUCAUAUAUGAGUAAUAAUGCCGAUUUUGGUGUAUAAUAAUUUUAUUAUUGCUCUUAUUUCUUUAAAUACCCUUUCCCAAAAUUUUUGAAUAAUUUUACAGGACCAGCACAUAUGAAAAUAUGAGCUUAUUUCCUGACAGCCUCUCCAGCAUUGAUCUGAAUAUUUUUAUCAAUUUGAUUUAAUCUGAUUGGGGUUAGGUACCACCUCCAGAUGGCUAUAUAACCUGGCUAUGGAACCAAGCGUUUGGUGAGUAGCGCAGGGCUAUAUACAGCUACGAAGUGAAUGGCAAUGUGUUUGGAACAGCUUCUAGAUUAUGAUUUUUAAUUAUGUAUAAUCUUUUAACAGCUUAUUUAUGUACUUAUAUGUUAGUGUUUUAUGAUUUUCAUGAUUUAAUGCACAAUGUAUAUUAUAUUUUUGUUUGUCUUAUGUUAAUAUGGCAUUGAAUUAUUGCAAAUUUGGAAGCUGCUCUGAGUCCCCUUUGGGGUUGAGAUAGAGUGGGGUAAAAUACAGUAAAUAAAUAAAUAAAUUUCUUCUUA
Anolis carolinensis (green anole) is the source of this 2784-nucleotide long non-coding RNA. RefSeq lists it as uncharacterized. Lineage: Eukaryota; Metazoa; Chordata; Lepidosauria; Squamata; Anolidae. The transcript has 2 exons. The record is from RefSeq and is a predicted model, not a curated record.